UAUGCCUAAGCCUAAGCCUACGCCUAAGCCUAAGUCUAAGCUGAAGCCUAA
Molecule: non-coding RNA, 51 nt
Organism: Caenorhabditis elegans
Lineage: Eukaryota; Metazoa; Nematoda; Chromadorea; Rhabditida; Rhabditidae
Source: Ensembl